RNAcentral lists this transfer RNA (70 nucleotides) under Bacteroidaceae bacterium. Its description in RNAcentral is "tRNA-Trp". It matches the Rfam family "tRNA". Rfam says of the family: Transfer RNA (tRNA) molecules are approximately 80 nucleotides in length. Their secondary structure includes four short double-helical elements and three loops (D, anti-codon, and T loops). Further hydrogen bonds mediate the characteristic L-shaped molecular structure. tRNAs have two regions of fundamental functional importance: the anti-codon, which is responsible for specific mRNA codon recognition, and the 3' end, to which the tRNAs corresponding amino acid is attached (by aminoacyl-tRNA synthetases). tRNAs cope with the degeneracy of the genetic code in two manners: having more than one tRNA (with a specific anti-codon) for a particular amino acid; and 'wobble' base-pairing, i.e. permitting non-standard base-pairing at the 3rd anti-codon position. Lineage: Bacteria; Pseudomonadati; Bacteroidota; Bacteroidia; Bacteroidales; Bacteroidaceae. The record is from RNAcentral.
GGGUGUAGCUCAGUUGGUAGAGCAUCGGUCUCCAAAACCGAGUGUGGAGGGUUGGACCCUUUCCCCCCUG